Molecule: ribosomal RNA, 701 nt
Filed under: uncultured Diaphorobacter sp.
Lineage: Bacteria; Pseudomonadati; Pseudomonadota; Betaproteobacteria; Burkholderiales; Comamonadaceae
Description: bacterial SSU rRNA
Rfam family: Bacterial small subunit ribosomal RNA
Source: RNAcentral
GAUGAAAGCGGGGGAUCUUCGGACCUCGCGCGGACGGAGCGGCCGAUGGCAGAUUAGGUAGUUGGUGGGAUAAAAGCUUACCAAGCCGACGAUCUGUAGCUGGUCUGAGAGGAUGAUCAGCCACACUGGGACUGAGACACGGCCCAGACUCCUACGGGAGGCAGCAGUGGGGAAUUUUGGACAAUGGGCGAAAGCCUGAUCCAGCCAUGCCGCGUGCAGGAUGAAGGCCUUCGGGUUGUAAACUGCUUUUGUACGGAACGAAAAGCCUCUUUCUAUAAAGAGGGGUCAUGACGGUACCGUAAGAAUAAGCACCGGCUAACUACGUGCCAGCAGCCGCGGUAAUACGUAGGGUGCAAGCGUUAAUCGGAAUUACUGGGCGUAAAGCGUGCGCAGGCGGUUUUGUAAGACAUAGGUGAAAUCCCCGGGCUCAACCUGGGAACUGCCUUUGUGACUGCGAGGCUGGAGUGCGGCAGAGGGGGAUGGAAUUCCGCGUGUGCAGUGAAAGCGUAGAUAUGCGGAGAAACACCGAUGGCGAAGGCAAUCCCUGGGCCUGCCUGACGCUCAUGCACGAAACGUGGGAGCAACAGAUUAGUACCCUGGUAGUCACGCCCUAACGAUGUCAACUAGUUGUCGGUUCUUCCUGACUCAUAACGAACUAACGCCUGAAGUGACCGCCUGCGAGUACGCCGCAGGUUGAACUC